GUGAGUCAUCGAAUCUUUGAACGCACAUUGCGCCCCCUGGCAUUCCGGGGGGCAUGCCUGUCCGAGCGUCAUUGCUAACCCUCCAGCCCGGCUGGUGUGUUGGGCCGUCGUCCCCUCCGGGGGACGGGCCCGAAAGGCAGCGGCGGCGCCGCGUCCGGUCCUCGAGCGUAUGGGGCUUUGUCACGCGCUCUAGUAGGCCCGGCCGGCUUGCUGGCCAACGACCUCACGGUCACCUAACUUCUCUCUUAGGUUGACCUCGGAUCAGGUAGGGAUACCCGCUGAACUUAAGCAUAUCAAUAAGCGGAGGA
RNAcentral lists this unclassified non-coding RNA (308 nucleotides) under Paecilomyces sp. RNAcentral describes it as "partial contains 5.8S ribosomal RNA, internal transcribed spacer 2, and large subunit ribosomal RNA". The stretch from base 1 to 71 matches the Rfam family "5.8S ribosomal RNA", at positions 84 to 154 of the family's 154-position model. Lineage: Eukaryota; Fungi; Ascomycota; Eurotiomycetes; Eurotiales; Thermoascaceae. The record is from RNAcentral.